This 369-nucleotide ribosomal RNA is filed under the name uncultured eukaryote. Its description in RNAcentral is "partial 18S ribosomal RNA". It matches the Rfam family "Eukaryotic small subunit ribosomal RNA", at positions 592 to 975 of the family's 1831-position model. The record is from RNAcentral.
CGAUAGCGUAUAUUAAAGUUGUUGCAGUUAAAAAGCUCGUAGUUGGAUUUCUGGUCGGAAGCUCCUGUCCUCUGAUGAGCGUACAAGUGCGUCCUACCAUCCUUCUGUUAACCUUUAAGGCUUUCGCGGCUUUCUAGGGGCUCAGAUAUUUUACCUUGAGAAAAUUAGAGUGUUUCAGGCAGGCUAGCGCCGGAAUACAUUAGCAUGGAAUAAUGGAAUAGGACUUUUGCCUCUUCUGUUGGUCAUGAGGCUCGAGUAAUGAUUAAUAGGGAUAGUUGGGGGCAUUAGUACUUAACUGUCAGAGGUGAAAUUCUCGGAUUUGUUAAAGACUAACUUAUGCGAAAGCAUUUGCCAAGGAUGUUUUCAUUA